This 466-nucleotide ribosomal RNA is filed under the name uncultured bacterium. RNAcentral describes it as "partial 16S ribosomal RNA". It matches the Rfam family "Bacterial small subunit ribosomal RNA", at positions 28 to 507 of the family's 1533-position model. The record is from RNAcentral.
GACGAACGCUGGCGGCGUGCUUAACACAUGCAAGUCGAACGGAAAGGCCCUGCUUUCAGGGUACUCGAGUGUCGAACGGGUGAGUAACACGUGUGUGAUCUGCCCUGCACUUCGGGAUAAGCCUGGGAAACUGUGUCUAAUACCGGAUAGGAGCCAUUUUUAUUGUGAUGGUUGGAAAGUUUUUUUCGGUGUAGGAUGAGCUCGCGGCCUAUCAGCUUGUUGGUGGGGUAAUGGCCUACCAAGGCGGCGACGGGUAGCCGGCCUGGGAGGGUGGACGGCCACAUUGGGACUGAGAGACGGCCCAGACUCCGACGGGAGGCAGCAGUGGGGAAUAUUGCAAAAUGGGGGGAAGCCUGAUGCAGCGACGCCGCGUGGGGGAUGACGGGCUUCGGGUUGUAAACUCCUUUCGCUAGGGAAGAAGCUUUUUGUGACGGUACCUAGAUAAGAAGCACCGGCUAACUACGUG